UACAGAGGUGGCAAGCGUUGUUCGGAAUUACUGGGCGUAAAGGGCGGGUAGGUGGCCAUCUAAGUCAGACGUGAAAUCCCCCGGCUUAACCUGGGAACUGCGUCUGAUACUGGACGGCUUGAGUAUGGGAGAGGGAUGCGGAAUUCCAGGUGUAGCGGUGAAAUGCGUAGAUAUCUGGAGGAACACCGGUGGCGAAGGCGGCAUCCUGGACCGACACUGACGCUGAGGAGCGAAAGCCAGGGGAGCAAACGGG
RNAcentral lists this ribosomal RNA (253 nucleotides) under uncultured bacterium. RNAcentral describes it as "partial 16S ribosomal RNA". It matches the Rfam family "Bacterial small subunit ribosomal RNA", at positions 524 to 776 of the family's 1533-position model. The record is from RNAcentral.